AUAACAACAAAAAAUGUCGUACAACACCAAAACGUACAACCGUAAGAGCUUUGGCAAAACCAACCCGCACCAGAAACCAACUUUCAAACAACAACAAUCCAACAGCAAAACCCGACCCAAUCCGUCCAGCUCAGCCAACGUUCGAAUUUCAAAUUCAUACAAAAACAGUACAAUUCCAACUUGCUUAUCAAAUCUUAUCCUCAAUUUGAAAUACUUAAUCAACAUUCUCAAAAAUACCCUUGACAUUCUCUAUCCCACAUCACCAAUUUCUCAAGAAUUGAGAUUUUUGAAUUUCCAUAUUAAUCCUUCUCUCUAUUGUUUAAAGAUUUUUUUCGAACGAAAAAGGGCUAAACUUCUCUACUUGGUUAGGAUUUGGACUUCUGUCCCCAACCUGGAGUUAUGCAAAUUUUGGUUCAAGUUUUAUUUUUCCUUGUCUUUUUUCAAAUCAAAAGCAAGUUGGUGAAGUCGUCGUGAACUUGUUGUCCUAUUUCGCUGCCCAAAAAAAGUGUAACACUUAAAAGGAAAGGCUGAAUUGCUGACAUUGGUCGGAAGAUAAGGUAUGUAAGGAUAAUCUUUUUCAUCUUCUUUGGCAUGAAAUCUCAUAUUAGUGUUAGUACCAACAAAGUAAGCUUCCCAAGUGUUCUCACUAGUAAAGGAUAUAUGGAAAUGAUGUACGAUUUUCAGUGUCAAUAAUGACCUUGUUCCUACUCCCUAUGAUCUCACAAAUGUGUCAAAGUAUUUCAAAUAUGUAUUUAUUACUAUAUUUAUGUAUUUACACUUUCCAGUUAAACCCUUGUUCCUUUUCUAUAUGUCAAUAAGACCCUAGAUUACACAUGGUAAGUGUGCUCAUGUGUUAUGUAUGCAAUAUGCCCAUUUACUACCAACUUUCUUCAAUUGUCUAUUUGAUAAUAUACUUUAUUUUCUCACACAUUUACAUGUUCCCUUCAUUGGGAAUCACUCCCAUUGUCGUAGUCUAUAAUGUUACCUCGCAGUAUCCCUACUCGUUCCAUUCUAUAGUUUGCAUCUCCUUACAUGGAAUAUGUAUUUAUCCCUAAAUCGAAUCUAUCGACAUGCUCCAGUAGUUCUUAUGUUCAUGUACCUUUCAUUUGACACUGUUUACUAAGUAUUUAGUUGCAUCACUGUCUAGAAAGCCGAUCUCUUAUAUUGAGUUAUAUGCCUUAACUCGAAAUGCACCUAUGUUCCAUUUAAGAUGUCAAAGUACUGAUUGUGUCAUUUAUGCUCCAAAGUAUUACAUUGCUAUUACAAUUACAAAUACUUGCUACUUCAUUGUUAUUUCCUCAAGUGAAUAUUCACAUAUUUCUUUUUACUGGUCUAUAGUCCCAAAGCUUAAUAAUAUUGUGGCCGCCAAAAUAACAAUUUCAAAGAUUAAAGAAAUAAAGUAACGUGAAUAUGUUUAUAUGUGGGUGGUAGAUCAGGGAAAAAAGCCCAGCAUGGGCCGAUCCCAAUACAUAGAUUUAUGGGUGGUAUCCCAAGGGCGGAAGGAACACCUAGCAUGGGUCAAUUCAAUUAUCGGGUGGUAUCCCAGGGGUAAAAGGAAAGCCUAGCAUUGUUCGAUCCCGAUUUGUGUAUUAAUAGGGAACGUAUCCCAGGGAUAUAAGGCCUAGCAUGGUUCAUCCUCUUUUAUCACUAUUCAGUUGGUUAUAUAUAUCACAUGGCUUACAAAGACUAUAAAGCAAAGAAUAGUAAAGUAAAGAAAAACAUGUAAUGUACAGGCUUCCACAAAUGUAAGUAAAGGUGGUCGUUCAUCCUUAGCUAUACAUUUAUAUACUGGUCCCUGAUUUCAUUAAUCUCUUAUUUCACUUAUGGUUAUGUCAUGCCUUACAUAGUCAGCACAUUACUUCGUACUGACGACCCUCACGGGAGACUAGCGUUCUAUGUUGCAAGAACAGGUUCUUAGUUAGUAGAUCUCCCUAAUAGAAGUACAGGAAACUCAGUAGCUGUUGGUGAGCUUCAAGUUGAUUUAGGGCCUUGACGAGUCUUCAGCAUAUAUUUUUUAAUGGUUUUACAGUCAUGAAUUCCAUUAGAGGCUUUGUAGACAUUAUAAAGCAGUCAUAUGUAUUCAUAGAUUUACAUGUCAUAUGUAUCGGAUUGUCUAAUUGGUUGCUAUUGUAAAUACAGCUUCUUAUCAGCAAUUUCAUUUGUAUAGUGAUUCAUUUUCUCA
Molecule: long non-coding RNA, 2182 nt
Organism: Capsicum annuum
Lineage: Eukaryota; Viridiplantae; Streptophyta; Magnoliopsida; Solanales; Solanaceae
Exons: 2
Source: RefSeq, a predicted model, not a curated record